CCCUUAGAUGUUCUGGGCCGCACGCGCGCUACACUGAUUCAUGCAACAAGUUUUGUCCUUGGCUGAUAGGCCUGGGUAAUCUUUGAACGUGAAUCGUGAUGGGGAUAGAUGAUUGCAAUUAUUCAUCUUCAACGAGGAAUUCCUAGUAAACGCAAGUCAUCAGCUUGCAUUGAUUACGUCCCUGCCCUUUGUACACACCGCCCGUCGCACCUACCGAUUGAAUGGUCCGGUGAAAUCUUCGGAUCUGAGAGAUGUCUAAUUAAUUUCGGACGCCUUUUGGAAAAGUUGCUUAAACCUUACCAUUUAGAGGAAGGUGAAGUCGUAACA
This 327-nucleotide ribosomal RNA is filed under the name uncultured eukaryote. Its description in RNAcentral is "partial 18S ribosomal RNA". It matches the Rfam family "Eukaryotic small subunit ribosomal RNA", at positions 1470 to 1796 of the family's 1831-position model. The record is from RNAcentral.